UGCAGUCGAGCGGAUGAAGGGAGCUUGCUCCUGGAUUCAGCGGCGGACGGGUGAGUAAUGCCUAGGAAUCUGCCUGGUAGUGGGGGAUAACGUCCGGAAACGGGCGCUAAUACCGCAUACGUCCUGAGGGAGAAAGUGGGGGAUCUUCGGACCUCACGCUAUCAGAUGAGCCUAGGUCGGAUUAGCUAGUUGGUGGGGUAACGGCCUACCAAGGCGACGAUCCGUAACUGGUCUGAGAGGAUGAUCAGUCACACUGGAACUGAGACACGGUCCAGACUCCUACGGGAGGCAGCAGUGGGGAAUAUUGGACAAUGGGCGAAAGCCUGAUCCAGCCAUGCCGCGUGUGUGAAGAAGGUCUUCGGAUUGUAAAGCACUUUAAGUUGGGAGGAAGGGCAGUAAGUUAAUACCUUGCUGUUUUGACGUUACCAACAGAAUAAGCACCGGCUAACUUCGUGCCAGCAGCCGCGGUAAUACGAAGGGUGCAAGCGUUAAUCGGAAUUACUGGGCGUAAAGCGCGCGUAGGUGGUUCAGCAAGUUGGAUGUGAAAUCCCCGGGCUCAACCUGGGAACUGCAUCCAAAACUACUGAGCUAGAGUACGGUAGAGGGUGGUGGAAUUUCCUGUGUAGCGGUGAAAUGCGUAGAUAUAGGAAGGAACACCAGUGGCGAAGGCGACCACCUGGACUGAUACUGACACUGAGGUGCGAAAGCGUGGGGGAGCAAACAGGAUUAGAUACCCUGGUAGUCCACGCCGUAAACGAUGUCGACUA
This 767-nucleotide ribosomal RNA is filed under the name Pseudomonas aeruginosa. Its description in RNAcentral is "bacterial SSU rRNA". It matches the Rfam family "Bacterial small subunit ribosomal RNA", at positions 56 to 818 of the family's 1533-position model. The record is from RNAcentral. Lineage: Bacteria; Pseudomonadati; Pseudomonadota; Gammaproteobacteria; Pseudomonadales; Pseudomonadaceae.